RNAcentral lists this small RNA (169 nucleotides) under Rhodanobacter spathiphylli. Its description in RNAcentral is "Rhodanobacter sp. Manganese sequence". The stretch from base 1 to 143 matches the Rfam family "Manganese Mn2+ riboswitch aptamer (yybP-ykoY)". Rfam says of the family: This RNA was originally discovered in E. coli during a large scale screen and was named SraF. The family was later found to exist upstream of related families of protein genes in many bacteria, including the the yybP and ykoK genes in B. subtilis. Lineage: Bacteria; Pseudomonadati; Pseudomonadota; Gammaproteobacteria; Lysobacterales; Rhodanobacteraceae. The record is from RNAcentral.
CCAGCGUUUGUCAUUGGGGAGUAGCCAUCCUCGCUCCCGACGGGCCUGACGGCUCGUCAAUCCAGAGGAAUCCGCGUCAACAGACUUGGGGUGAUGCCCCAUGGUGCGGAUGGCCGUCGUCGGAAUCUCCGGCGAACGUGCCCGGCGAGACCUUUGGCCGCGACGUGCU